Molecule: unclassified non-coding RNA, 253 nt
Filed under: uncultured Bacteroidota bacterium
Lineage: Bacteria; Pseudomonadati; Bacteroidota
Description: uncultured Bacteroidetes bacterium contains 16S-23S intergenic spacer region
Rfam family: Bacterial small subunit ribosomal RNA
Source: RNAcentral
UACGGAGGGUGCAAGCGUUGUCCGGAAUCACUGGGAGUAAAGGGUGUGUAGGCGGGGCAGUUAGUCAGAGGUGAAAUCCUGCGGCUUAACCGUAGAAUUGCCUUUGAUACUGCUGUUCUUGAGUCCUGGAGAGGUCAUUGGAAUUUGUGGUGUAGCGGUGAAAUGCGUUGAUAUCACGAGGAACACCAGGGGUGUAGACGGAUGACUGGACAGGUAAUGACGCUGAGGCACGAAAGCGUGGGGAGCAAACAGG